CCCUUAGAUGUUCUGGGCCGCACGCGCGCUACACUGACUGACUCAACGAGUUUACAACCUGUGCCGAAAGGUAUGGGUAAUCUUUUGAAAUUCGGUCGUGAUGGGGCUAGAUUAUUGCAACUAUUGAUCUUCAACGAGGAAUGCCUAGUAAGCGCGAAUCAUCAGUUCGCGUUGAUUACGUCCCUGCCCUUUGUACACACCGCCCGUCGCUCCUACCGAUUGAAUGGUCCGGUGAAAAUUUCGGAUAGUGACGAUGCUGGCGGUUCGCCGCCGGCGCUGUCGCUAGAAGAUCUUUAAACCUUAUCAUUUAGAGGAAGGAGAAGUCGUANCA
This 331-nucleotide ribosomal RNA is filed under the name uncultured eukaryote. RNAcentral describes it as "partial 18S ribosomal RNA". It matches the Rfam family "Eukaryotic small subunit ribosomal RNA", at positions 1470 to 1796 of the family's 1831-position model. The record is from RNAcentral.